GAGUCGCAAGCUCGCGAGAGUAAGCUAAUCUCUUAAAGCCGUUCUCAGUUCGGACUGUAGGCUGCAACUCGCCUACACGAAGUCGGAAUCGCUAGUAAUCGCGGAUCAGCAUGCCGCGGUGAAUACGUUCCCGGGCCUUGUACACACCGCCCGUCACACCAUGGGAGUCGGAAAUGCCCGAAGCCGGUGACCAAACCAAUAAGGAAGGAGCCGUCGAAGGCAGGUCUGAUAACUGGGGUGAAGUCGUAACAAGGUAAC
Molecule: ribosomal RNA, 258 nt
Filed under: uncultured bacterium
Lineage: Bacteria
Description: partial 16S ribosomal RNA
Rfam family: Bacterial small subunit ribosomal RNA
Source: RNAcentral